CAAUAUCCAGUGAAAAGCACAUGACCCACUUCAACUUUGAAAAACCAAACACUGACCUAUUUGUUCUAAGAAAACAAACCAGUGGUAGGUUCCAAUUUAUCAAAUACUUAGAUUAAACUCCAUAAUAUCUAAUAAUUAUCUAAGUGAACAGCAGACUAACAUGGAUCAAACUUUAACUAAGACAAAGAAACAACUAAAUCAAAGCAAUCAUGAGGAAAUGAACAAAGAAAUAAAAAAAAUCAACGAAAAGCAUGAAAUUUAAAAGAGAAAAAUGAAUAAAAGAAACAUUAAAGAUGAGGACAAUAGGUGAAAACAGACCUUUCUUUAGCUUUCAAUAAUAACUUUGUACAAAGGAAUCUGACAUCGACAAACUUUGCAGAAAACAAAAACAAGAACUAGGAUAUACGUCCGGCGAACUCGAACAAUGGCCUCGAUAAUCUCGACUCAAAUGGGUUAUUUUCGCUGAUGUUUUAUGUGAAAAAGGAGAAUGCUUCAAGGUGUUUUUAAUGGUAUUUUGGUAGGUUUAAGGGUGCAUUUUGGGGCUGAUUUUAGCAGCUUUUGGACCUGUUUUGCAGCAUGAUUUUCGCUGCUUUUCUGAGCUGCUUUUGAGCUGUUUCAUAGCUGCUGGGGUUUGUGUUCUUGUGUGUGUGUGUUGGUCGUUUUUUGUUUGGAAGAAACCAUGGCAGAAGGCUGAAGAAGAAGAUAGGAUAGGAGGUUGGGUAUUUUUGUUGUCUCAGCUGAAGAAACGGCGG
This 752-nucleotide long non-coding RNA is filed under the name Nicotiana tabacum (common tobacco). RNAcentral's name for it is "long non-coding RNA (NTAB_LNC005878)". Lineage: Eukaryota; Viridiplantae; Streptophyta; Magnoliopsida; Solanales; Solanaceae. The record is from RNAcentral.